UGUGAGGAGGGGUUGGUGCGACCUAGGGGACUCUGAUGUGCCUUCCAUCGUGACCAGCCCGCGAGCAGCAGGGCUGCGGGAGCCUCUCGGGAGCGUUUGUGAAGAGGUGGUGAUUCCUCCGUGGGCAGCCUGCUUCUUAGAGCCUGAGAGCUGUUCCGCCCCCUCCACGGAAGAGCCUGCUGCAGCCUCUGGGAAGACUGAUGCGCGUGCGGGAGGGGGUGUCCUGCUGGGCCCUGGGGGACCGGACACGAGCUGCCACUCUCGAGGUGCCCGGGCGGUGGAGGGCGAAGCAUUUUGAUGGCAUAUUGAGGACUCGCGGGAGGCUCAUCUUCCUUGUCUUCAUCUCUCUGAGCCUCAUACAGGACUGGACACCAAAAGGGCCCUGUAAACCCUGCCUCCUUGACCAACUAGAAGUCGGGGCUACAAAUGACCAUUCCUUCUUAUUCAAAAGUUUUACGAGAUUAGGACACAGACACAAACAGAGGAAAGCCCAC
Molecule: long non-coding RNA, 494 nt
Organism: Orcinus orca (killer whale)
Lineage: Eukaryota; Metazoa; Chordata; Mammalia; Artiodactyla; Delphinidae
Exons: 3
Source: RefSeq, a predicted model, not a curated record